This 497-nucleotide ribosomal RNA is filed under the name uncultured bacterium. RNAcentral describes it as "partial 16S ribosomal RNA". It matches the Rfam family "Bacterial small subunit ribosomal RNA", at positions 28 to 507 of the family's 1533-position model. The record is from RNAcentral.
GAUGAACGCUGGCGGCGUGCCUAAUACAUGCAAGUCGAGCGAACAGACGAGGAGCUUGCUCCUCUGACGUUAGCGGCGGACGGGUGAGUAACACGUGGAUAACCUACCUAUAAGACUGGGAUAACUUCGGGAAACCGGAGCUAAUACCGGAGAAUAUAUUGAACCGCAUGGUUCAAUAGUGAAAGACGGUUUUGCUGUCACUUAUAGAUGGAUCCGCGCCGCAUUAGCUGGUUGGUAAGGUAAAGGCCUACCAAGGCAACGCUGCGUAGCCGACCUGAGAGAGUGAUCGGCCACAUUGGAACUGCGCCAGGGUCCACACGCCUGCGGGAGGCAGCAGUAUGCAAUGUUGCGCAGUGGGCGAGAGCAUGGCGGAGCCGCGGCGCGUGAGUUAUGGAGGUCUCCGGAUCGUAAAACUCUGUUACUAGGGGAGAACAAAUUUGGAAUUAGCCAUGGACGUCUUGACGGUACCUAGUCAGAAAGCCACGGCUAACUACGUG